AGCUGUUCAAUUUGUACAAUUCUCAAAAUCUUUGCUCCUUGCACAACAAUAUUUUUGGUAAUUUCCUAUUUUCUUCUGAAACUAUGCGUCUUACAAACAUUUUGUUGAAAAAAGUCAAAAGCAAGCGUAUUAUGGUUGUGGUAGAAAGUGUGGUCAGUGGCCACAAAUUUAAUGCCGUUCGCGACAGAUUAUCGGAUAAAUUGGAAUGCAUACGCUUUGAUCCGUACAUUCAACAGGAUUGUGUAUAUCGGGAACGCAAGAAGAUUCGAAGCGCUUAAUUAUUUUUCCAUUUUUGUUUUCAUAGUUCAAGAAAAUAUAAAACAAAUUAAAAAAAGAACUUAAAUAUCCCACUAAAAGUUAAUUACUAAAGGACAUUUGGUCUAUGGAUUUUAAUAACCCACCAAUAUGACU
Molecule: RNA transcript, 411 nt
Organism: Stomoxys calcitrans (stable fly)
Lineage: Eukaryota; Metazoa; Arthropoda; Insecta; Diptera; Muscidae
Gene: mRpL33
Gene name: large ribosomal subunit protein bL33m
Exons: 4
Source: RefSeq, a predicted model, not a curated record